ACACACUCCAUCCUAGGUCACCAUAGUAACAAAGGUUCUGAAAUUAUUUAAUCUACUUUCAAAUUCCAUCUCCAAGGUGAACAAAACCAAUGUAAGAGAAGAAAUAUUAGGCCAGUGAAGGCCAGGGGAAUAUUUAAGUUUUAAUGCUAGUGUUUUGAACUUUAAGACAAAGAGCAUGAAGGUUUGUGUAGAUCUCCAUUUUAUUUCACUUAGAAAUACUUCGGGUUUCUAAAUGGAAGAACAGAGGGUCACCUGGAAAUUAAUGGGCAGUCAAUUUGGAAUAAAUGAAGCAGAUUAGCUGAUAAUAUACGGCUAUAGCAAUGUGGAGCUUUAUUCCUGUAUACAGAUGGCAAGGGUGCCUGGCUGUUUCACCAGUCUUACACACACUUCAUAUCAUUCCUCCUGCAGAAGUCACUUCAGUGUCCAGCUUGAUGCUUCCUCUUUUUCUUACGUAAGCUUAUGGGAGUUCAUAGAAGAACACAGAGUUCAAAGAAGAACCUGCCUUUGCUGUUGGAUACAUCAUGUCUUCCUAGGUGACUGAAGACCCUAUGAAAUUGGGGGUGCUGGAGAUACGUAACCUGAAAGAAUCCAAACCAUGGAAUGGCAAGAAGACUAUAAGCCCAGUUGGUGGAAGCCACCUUUCAAGGGGCUGAUAACAAGCGCAUCCCUCCCCACCUGCGUCUGCUCAGGCAGCCCCAUGGGGUGGUUUAGCAUGCUGCAGCUGUGCAGAUUUCCAUCUCUGAUAAAACUUUGCCUGAGAGCUAUUUGCUGAUGAUUGUCAACAAUCAAAUGAAUUAUAGAUUAUGUUGGUAAACAAAAUGCUGCCUUGAUGAAUGAUGAGUUGGCUCUAUUCUGACAUGACUGCUAAGUCAUUCAAAGCGCUGAUUAAACCCAUUACUGUAAAAUAAUCACCAUCCAUUACCUUUAAUGUCGUGAACUGACAACCUAGUUAAGGCAGCUGAUGGUGUCAGCAAAGUGAUUUGUUGUACUGCAUGUCCAUCGACAAUAAAUCACUCCGAUAAAUCA
RNAcentral lists this long non-coding RNA (1026 nucleotides) under Vulpes vulpes (red fox). Its description in RNAcentral is "lncRNA (ENSVVUG00000005848.1)". The record is from RNAcentral. Lineage: Eukaryota; Metazoa; Chordata; Mammalia; Carnivora; Canidae.